This 253-nucleotide ribosomal RNA is filed under the name uncultured bacterium. Its description in RNAcentral is "partial 16S ribosomal RNA". It matches the Rfam family "Bacterial small subunit ribosomal RNA", at positions 524 to 776 of the family's 1533-position model. The record is from RNAcentral.
UACGUAGGUGGCAAGCGUUGUCCGGAUUUACUGGGCGUAAAGAGCGCGCAGGCGGCUGGGCAAGUCCGAUGUGAAAGCCCCGGGCUUAACCUGGGAAUGGCAUUGGAAACUGGCUGGCUGGAGUGUGGCAGAGGGGGGUGGAAUUCCACGUGUAGCAGUGAAAUGCGUAGAGAUGUGGAGGAACACCGAUGGCGAAGGCAGCCCCCUGGGCCAACACUGACGCUCAGGCACGAAAGCGUGGGGAGCAAACAGG